RNAcentral lists this ribosomal RNA (663 nucleotides) under Lentilactobacillus buchneri. RNAcentral's name for it is "bacterial SSU rRNA". It matches the Rfam family "Bacterial small subunit ribosomal RNA", at positions 65 to 683 of the family's 1533-position model. Lineage: Bacteria; Bacillati; Bacillota; Bacilli; Lactobacillales; Lactobacillaceae. The record is from RNAcentral.
AACGCGUCUCCGUUAAUGAUUUUAGGUGCUUGCACUUGAAAGAAUUUAACAUUGAGACGAGUGGCGAACUGGUGAGUAACACGUGGGUAACCUGCCCUUGAAGUAGGGGAUAACACUUGGAAACAGGUGCUAAUACCGUAUAACAACCAAAACCACCUGGUUUUGGUUUAAAAGACGGCUUCGGCUGUCACUUUAGGAUGGACCCGCGGCGUAUUAGCUUGUUGGUAAGGUAACGGCUUACCAAGGCGAUGAUACGUAGCCGACCUGAGAGGGUAAUCGGCCACAUUGGGACUGAGACACGGCCCAAACUCCUACGGGAGGCAGCAGUAGGGAAUCUUCCACAAUGGACGAAAGUCUGAUGGAGCAACGCCGCGUGAGUGAUGAAGGGUUUCGGCUCGUAAAACUCUGUUGUUGGAGAAGAACAGGUGUCAGAGUAACUGUUGACAUCUUGACGGUAUCCAACCAGAAAGCCACGGCUAACUACGUGCCAGCAGCCGCGGUAAUACGUAGGUGGCAAGCGUUGUCCGGAUUUAUUGGGCGUAAAGCGAGCGCAGGCGGUUUUUUAGGUCUGAUGUGAAAGCCUUCGGCUUAACCGGAGAAGUGCAUCGGAAACCGGGAGACUUGAGUGCAGAAGAGGACAGUGGAACUCCAUGUGUAGCGGUG